AAUUUAUACACUAUCACGGACCUGUAAUUUAUAUUGCUAAUUUAUUACAAUUCUGCAAAGUUUUAUGAUUUUAGCAGCUUUUCUAAUAUGGACCUCAGAUUCUUGUUAACGCUGCAUGGCAGAAAUACAUACAAGUACACAGCCUGAUGAAGCAGACAGAAGCAGUACCUCUGAUUGGUUAAAGUAUUACUCCUCCAUAAUAGUAUUUCUGUUAAAUCAAAGUAUUUUUGCCAAAUCAUGGUUUUUGUGCCAAAACAUAACAUUUCUGUUAAGCUAUAGUAUUACUAAUAAGUGGAGGAAUUUCUGUCAUGUUAUAGUAUAUGUGCUGAUUACAGUAUAUCUGCCAAAUCAUAGUAUUUAUCCCGAAUCAUAGUAUUUUACAGUAUUUCUGCUAAAAAGCAGAACUAGUACCUUUUAGCAGGAAUUUCUGUCAAAAGAUAUUAGUUAUGUUAAAACAUAGUAUUUCUGCUAAAUCAUAGUACUUCUGCCAAAUCAUAGCAUUUCUUCAAAAUCAUA
This 516-nucleotide long non-coding RNA is filed under the name Oreochromis niloticus (Nile tilapia). Its description in RNAcentral is "lncRNA (ENSONIG00000027215.1)". Lineage: Eukaryota; Metazoa; Chordata; Actinopteri; Cichliformes; Cichlidae. The record is from RNAcentral.